This is a long non-coding RNA of Nicotiana tabacum (common tobacco), 1091 nucleotides long. RefSeq lists it as uncharacterized. NCBI's taxonomy places the organism in Eukaryota, Viridiplantae, Streptophyta, Magnoliopsida, Solanales, Solanaceae. The record is from RefSeq and is a predicted model, not a curated record.
AAAAGAAAGAGAAAUAACAGAAAAAUGUAGCUCCCAUUCUGCUAUAAGAGAAGUACAUUCCCUCAUGAUUACUCACGCAUUCACUGAUUAUUCUCACCAAUUCACUAUCAAUACACUCUCUCUCUCUCACGUUUAGAGGGAGCUAAAUUUGAGAUAAAAAUUUCAGUUCUGAAGAACAAAAAUACUCCAGAAAAUCACAACAAAAACAAAAAAAUAUAUUUUAAAAGUGCUUCCUAAAUUCUGUCAAUUCACUUUAACAUUUUUCUGGGUUUCAAGCUGAUUUUGGGUCAAAUUUGAAGUUGUUUCUCUGCUUGGAUUUGCUGUUUUCUCGAUUAGCUGAGCUCUAACUCUAGUUGAUUUCAGCCUUUAUUUGGCAACUUGCCAUUUAUUUUUCUGCUGCUAAGAUUCAACUAGCUCAUGAAUUUGACCACCAGUUGGUCAAAUGCAUUAGUUAGAGGUCUCAAAGUUAAAUUGAGCAAUUCUAAAUUCAUUGUGAUAGGCAUGGAUGAUUAGAAACGAAGAUUUGGGAUACAUUUGGUUCUAAGAGAUCUAUUAAGAAUUCAUAAUUGUAUUUGGUAGAACAGUAAUCUUAAUGUAAUAAUUUUUUGAAUCACAUAAGAGCUAAAUUUCUUUUAGUAUUGCGAUCCAGUUUACAAUGUAGAAAUCAAUUGUAUGUGUGAUCUUGAAGAUGGCAGUCUUCAUUGUGUUUCACUGAUCUUUACAGUUUGAGUUUUGUUAUUAGGCCUGGGUGCCAUGACAGGCCCAUCUCGGGUUCUCUUGUAAAUUAAGAGCACUGGAGGUUUAUGUAGGGUCUGGCCACGUGAAAUCUACCAGGCCCAAGCCCCACACAAGGAUUUCGAUUUGGGAUCCCAUUUGGCCUGUAGUAACAAGAUGUAAUAGUUUUGAAUUUAAUUUCCUUUCUCUUCCGUGACUUUCUGUUGAACAACCUUAAAUUGUAAAUAAUUUAGAGUUAGAUUUAGCUUAAUUUCCUCUCCAUAUACUCUAUCAUCCCUAAAAUGUAAUCAAGGUCACAGUGGUCACGUAUUUAUUCUAGGAGCUUUAAAAAAUGAAGAAUGCAUCCUUGUGCAAUA